GAUUCCCCUAGUAACUGCGAGUGAAGCGGGAAAAGCUCAAAUUUAAAAGCUCAAAUUUAAAAUCUGUCAGUCUGGCUGUCCGAGUUGUAAUCUAGAGAAGCGUUAUCCGCGUUGGACCGUGUACAAGUCUCCUGGAAUGGAGCCUCAUAGAGGGUGAGAAUCCCGUCUUUGACACGGACUGCCAGGGCUUUUGUGAUGCGCUCUCAAAGAGUCGAGUUGUUUGGGAAUGCAGCUCAAAAUGGGUGGUAAAUUCCAUCUAAAGCUAAAUAUUGGCGAGAGACCGAUAGCGAACAAGUACCGUGAGGGAAAGAUGAAAAGAACUUUGGAAAGAGAGUUAAACAGUACGUGAAAUUGCUGAAAGGGAAACGCUUGAAGUCAGUCGCGUUGUCCAGGGAUCAACCUUGCUUUUGCUUGGUGUACUUUCUGGUUGACGGGUCAGCAUCAAUUUUGACUAUUGGAAAAAGAUCAGGGGAAUGUGGCAUCUUCGGAUGUGUUAUAGCCCUUGGUUGCAUACAAUGGUUGGGAUUGAGGAACUCAGCACGCCGCAAGGCCGGGUUUUUAACCACGUACGUGCUUAGGAUGCUGGCAUAAUGGCUUUAAUCGACCCGUCUUGAAACACGGACCAAGGAGUCUAACAUGCCUGCGAGUGUUUGGGUGGAAAACCCGAGCGCGUAAUGAAAGUGAAAGUUGAGAUCCCUGUCGUGGGGAGCAUCGACGCCCGGACCAGACCUUUUGCGACGGUUCCGCGGUAGAGCAUGUAUGUUGGGACCCGAAAGAUGGUGAACUAUGCCUGAAUAGGGUGAAGCCAGAGGAAACUCUGGUGGAGGCUCGUAGCGAUUCUGACGUGCAAAUCGAUCGUCAAAUUUGGGUUAAGGGGCGAAAGACUAAUCGAACCUA
RNAcentral lists this ribosomal RNA (897 nucleotides) under Cortinarius achrous. RNAcentral describes it as "LSU rRNA". It matches the Rfam family "Eukaryotic large subunit ribosomal RNA", at positions 73 to 943 of the family's 3401-position model. Lineage: Eukaryota; Fungi; Basidiomycota; Agaricomycetes; Agaricales; Cortinariaceae. The record is from RNAcentral.